This is a long non-coding RNA of Triticum urartu, 142 nucleotides long. RefSeq lists it as uncharacterized. The record is from RefSeq and is a predicted model, not a curated record. NCBI's taxonomy places the organism in Eukaryota, Viridiplantae, Streptophyta, Magnoliopsida, Poales, Poaceae.
GCGCUGAAGUUGUACUGCUCCAUGACAAGUAGCUUCAGGGCAGAUAGAUAUGUACAGAUUACUACAUCAUCGGAGAGUAAGAUUGUGGUGGUGUUGCGGUCAGAGUGGAACCAAACUUCCUAUAGCGGCUCAGUCUAGUAUG